GGGGGGGGGGGGGGGGGGGCCGGGGGGGGGCGGGGCGAGCGGACGGGCGGGGGGCGUGCGGCACUGGUGUUGGCGGCGGAGGGGGGAGGACCGCGUGGAUCACCUGGCUAUGAGCCUGGGGUGACUUCGGGAAGCCGGAGCUCCUGCCGGAUCAUAUUUUGAACCGCAUGGUUCACAAGUGAAGGCCGGUGUUGCUGUAACUUAUAGCGGGAUCCGCGCUGCAUUAGCUAGUUGGUAAGGUAACGGCUUACCAAGGCAACGAUGCGUAGCCGACCUGAGAGGGUGAUCGGCCACACUGGAACUGAGACACGGUCCAGACUCCUACGGGAGGCAGCAGUAGGGAAUCUUCCGCAAUGGGCGAAAGCCUGACGGAGCAACGCCGCGUGAGUGAUGAAGGUCUUCGGAUCGUAAAACUCUGUUAUUAGGGAAGAACAAAUGUGUAAGUAACUAUGCACGUCUUGACGGUACCUAAUCAGAAAGCCACGGCUAACUACGUG
This 497-nucleotide ribosomal RNA is filed under the name uncultured bacterium. RNAcentral's name for it is "partial 16S ribosomal RNA". It matches the Rfam family "Bacterial small subunit ribosomal RNA", at positions 35 to 507 of the family's 1533-position model. The record is from RNAcentral.